Molecule: ribosomal RNA, 495 nt
Filed under: Mooreonuphis pallidula
Lineage: Eukaryota; Metazoa; Annelida; Polychaeta; Eunicida; Onuphidae
Description: partial 16S ribosomal RNA
Rfam family: Archaeal large subunit ribosomal RNA
Source: RNAcentral
UGCCUAAUGUUUAAAACCCAUACUAGGUUCAUCCUGCCCAGUGAUAUUAUUCAACGGCCGCGGUAUCCUGACCGUGCAAAGGUAGCAUAAUCAUUUGCCCUUUAAUUAAGGGCUAGAAUGAAUGGACAAACGAAAAUUUCCCUGUCUCUAUUAAAACCCUAUAACUUAACCUUUAGGUGAAGAGGCCUAAAUAAAUAUAUAAGACAAGAAGACCCUGUCGAGCUUUAUCAUCCACCUAACUACAAUAAAAAAUAUACUCAAGACAAAGAUUUUGUUGGGGCGACAAAGGAAUAAACUAAAACUCCUAAAAACUUAAGAUAUCACUUCUAUCUAACGACCCAUAUUUUAUGAUCACAGAAACUAGCUACCGCAGGGAUAACAGUCUAAUUUUCCCCAAGAGCCCAAAUCUAAUGGAAAGAUUAUCACCUCGAUGUUGGCUUAGGGAUUCUUCUAAGUGCAGCCACUUAAAAAGAAGGUUUGUUCAACCUUUAAACC